CUACGGAGGGUGCAAGCGUUAAUCGGAAUUACUGGGCGUAAAGCGCGCGUAGGCGGAUAUUUAAGUCUCAUGUGAAAGCCCUGGGCUCAACCUGGGAACUGCAUGGGAUACUGGGUAUCUAGAAUACAGUAGAGGGUAGUGGAAUUUCAGGUGUAGCGGUGAAAUGCGUAGAGAUCUGAAGGAACAUCAGUGGCGAAGGCGACUACCUGGACUGAUAUUGACGCUGAGGUGCGAAAGCGUGGGGAGCAAACGGGAUUAGAUACCCCAGUAGUAC
This 274-nucleotide ribosomal RNA is filed under the name uncultured bacterium. RNAcentral's name for it is "partial 16S ribosomal RNA". It matches the Rfam family "Bacterial small subunit ribosomal RNA", at positions 523 to 796 of the family's 1533-position model. The record is from RNAcentral.